RNAcentral lists this ribosomal RNA (404 nucleotides) under Fusobacteriota bacterium. RNAcentral's name for it is "Fusobacteria bacterium partial 16S ribosomal RNA". It matches the Rfam family "Bacterial small subunit ribosomal RNA", at positions 355 to 776 of the family's 1533-position model. The record is from RNAcentral. Lineage: Bacteria; Fusobacteriati; Fusobacteriota.
UGGGGAAUAUUGCACAAUGGGCGAAAGCCUGAUGCAGCGACGCCGCGUGAGUGAAGAAGUAUUUCGGUAUGUAAAGCUCUAUCAGCAGGGAAGAAAAUGACGGUACCUGACUAAGAAGCCCCGGCUAACUACGUGCCAGCAGCCGCGGUAAUACGUAGGGGGCAAGCGUUAUCCGGAUUUACUGGGUGUAAAGGGAGCGUAGACGGCGAAGCAAGUCUGAAGUGAAAACCCAGGGCUCAACCCUGGGACUGCUUUGGAAACUGUUUUGCUAGAGUGUCGGAGAGGUAAGUGGAAUUCCUAGUGUAGCGGUGAAAUGCGUAGAUAUUAGGAGGAACACCAGUGGCGAAGGCGGGUUACUGGACGAUAACUGACGUUGAGGCUCGAAAGCGUGGGGAGCAAACAGG